RNAcentral lists this ribosomal RNA (460 nucleotides) under uncultured bacterium. RNAcentral's name for it is "partial 16S ribosomal RNA". It matches the Rfam family "Bacterial small subunit ribosomal RNA", at positions 338 to 795 of the family's 1533-position model. The record is from RNAcentral.
CCUACGGGGGACAGCAGUGAGGAAUAUUGGUCAAUGGACGAGAGUCUGAACCAGCCAAGUAGCGUGAAGGAUGACUGCCCUAUGGGUUGUAAACUUCUUUUAUAUGGGAAUAAAACGUUCCACGUGUGGGAUUUUGUAUGUACCAUAUGAAUAAGGAUCGGCUAACUCCGUGCCAGCAGCCGCGGUAAUACGGAGGAUCCGAGCGUUAUCCGGAUUUAUUGGGUUUAAAGGGAGCGUAGGUGGAUUGUUAAGUCAGUUGUGAAAGUUUGCGGCUCAACCGUAAAAUUGCAGUUGAAACUGGCAGUCUUGAGUACAGUAGAGGUAGACGGAAUUCGUGGUGUAGCGGUGAAAUGCUUAGAUAUCACGAAGAACUCCGGUUGCGAAGGCAGUUCACUGGACUGCAACUGACACUGAGGCUCGAAAGUGUGGGUAUCAAACAGGAUUAGAUACCCUGGUAGUC